UGCGUAGGUGGAUUGGUAAGUCAGUGGUGAAAUCUCCGGGCUUAACUCGGAAACUGCCAUUGAUACUAUCAGUCUUGAAUACCGUGGAGGCCAGUAGAAUAUGUCAUGUAGCGGUGAAAUGCUUAGAUAUGACAUAGAAUACCAAUUGCGAAGGCAGCUGGCUACGCGGAAUAUUGACAUCAGGCACGAAAGCGUGGGAUCAAACA
RNAcentral lists this ribosomal RNA (206 nucleotides) under uncultured bacterium. Its description in RNAcentral is "partial 16S ribosomal RNA". It matches the Rfam family "Bacterial small subunit ribosomal RNA", at positions 568 to 774 of the family's 1533-position model. The record is from RNAcentral.